RNAcentral lists this ribosomal RNA (274 nucleotides) under uncultured bacterium. RNAcentral describes it as "partial 16S ribosomal RNA". It matches the Rfam family "Bacterial small subunit ribosomal RNA", at positions 523 to 796 of the family's 1533-position model. The record is from RNAcentral.
AUACGAGUGCCCCAAGCGUUACCCGGAAUCACUGGGCGUAAAGGGUGUGCAGGCGGUUAUGUUAGUCUUUCGUUAAAUCUUUCGGCUCAACCGAAAAACUGCGGAGGAAACGGCAUAACUAGAGGAUGCGAGAGGUCUAGGGAACUCAUAGUGUAGGGGUGAAAUCCGUUGAUAUUAUGGGGAACACCAAAAGCGAAGGCACUAGACUGGCGCAUUCCUGACGCUCAUACACGAAAGCGUGGGUAGCGAACGGGAUUAGAUACCCCGGUAGUCC